RNAcentral lists this ribosomal RNA (1295 nucleotides) under uncultured fungus. RNAcentral describes it as "eukaryotic LSU rRNA". The stretch from base 629 to 1295 matches the Rfam family "Eukaryotic large subunit ribosomal RNA", at positions 1 to 649 of the family's 3401-position model. The record is from RNAcentral. Lineage: Eukaryota; Fungi.
AAGUCGUAACAAGGUUUCCGUAGGUGAACCCGCGGAAGGAUCAUUACCGAACCGUCGACACGAGUUGUUGCUGGUCCUCAAAUGGGGGCAUGUGCACACUCUGUUUACUCAUCCACUCACACCUGUGCACCCACUGUAGUUCUGUGGCUUGGGGGGCUCUGUCCUCUUUGCUGUGGUUCUAUGUCUUUACACACACACUGUAAUAAAGUUUCAUGGAAUGCAUGACGCGUCUAACGCAAUACAAUACAACUUUCAGCAACGGAUCUCUUGGCUCUCGCAUCGAUGAAGAACGCAGCGAAAUGCGAUAAGUAAUGUGAAUUGCAGAAUUCAGUGAAUCAUCGAAUCUUUGAACGCACCUUGCGCCCUCUGGCUAUUCCAGAGGGCAUGCCUGUUUGAGUAUCAUGAACACCUCAACUCUCAUGGUUUUGCCGUGAUGAGCUUGGACUUUUGGGGGUCUUGCUGGCCUGUGGUCAGCUCCUCUCAAACGAAUCAGCUUGCCAGUGUCUGGUGGCAUCACAGGUGUGAUAACUAUCUACGCUUGUGGUUUUCCACCAGGUAACCUUCAGUGAUGGAGGUUCGCUGGAGCUCAUAAAUGUCCCUCCUCAGCGAGGACAGCUUCUUGAAUGUUUGAUCUCAAAUCAGGUAGGGCUACCCGCUGAACUUAAGCAUAUCAAUAAGCGGAGGAAAAGAAACUAACAAGGAUUCCCCUAGUAACUGCGAGUGAAGCGGGAAGAGCUCAAAUUUAAAAUCUGGCGUGCCUUUGGCCGUCCGAGUUGUAGUCUGGAGAAGCGUCUUCCGUGUUGGACCGUGUAUAAGUCUCUUGGAACAGGGCGUCAUAGAGGGUGAGAAUCCCGUCUUUGACACGGACUGCCAAUGCUUUGUGAUGCGCUCUCAAAGAGUCGAGUUGUUUGGGAAUGCAGCUCAAAAUGGGUGGUAAAUUCCAUCUAAAGCUAAAUAUAGGCGAGAGACCGAUAGCGAACAAGUACCGUGAGGGAAAGAUGAAAAGCACUUUGGAAAGAGAGUUAAACAGUACGUGAAAUUGCUGAAAGGGAAACGCUUGAAGUCAGUCAUGUCUGCCAGGACUCAGCCUCGCUUCUGCUUGGUGUACUUUCUGGUUUGAUGGGCCAACAUCAAUUUCGACCGUCGGAGAAAGGCUUUGGGAACGUGGCACCUUUGGGUGUGUUAUAGCCCUUUGUUGUAUACGACGGCUGGGAUUGAGGACCGCAGCACGCCUUUAUGGCCGGGGUUCGCCCACGUACGUGCUUAGGAUGUUGGCAUAAUGGCUUUAAGCGACC